CGCAGAGUGGGGUGGUUGCCUAGCAACAACACCUGUAGCACAUUAAGCAGCCAGUCAGCUUUGUCAACUUCUAGCAGGGGCUUUGUAGAGCGGAAGGUGGGGGUGGAAGAAGGAUCAGAGGGCACAGAAGUGGAAAGCUGGACAGUGGCUCUCAAGAUGGAAGAGGGUGCAGAAUUGAGAGUCCCGCCAACAAGGCUUUAUGCCUCUUUUCUUCAAGCAGAAGCAGAUCCAGGAGGACUGGGGGCUCAUUCCACUGACUCAUCUUCGAGGAAGGACCACAGAGAAGAAGCAAAGACUCUGAGAGGGGGUCUGGCAUUUCCAGUCCAUACCAGGAAGCUGAAGUUCUCCUGCGGCCCAAAGCACGGCGGCCCCUGGCGGAAAAGUCAAACCAGCAAAUAGAAAUGUCACUCAAUCAUUUCCCCGUGCUUUCCUCUCAUUGGCCUUCUCCACCGCAUAUAAUGAAAACUGCUUUUUGCCCAAAUAUUGUUUGAAUUUCAAAUACACAAUUUCCCCCAGGGGUGACCAGAUGAAAAGAGAACUCUGGUUUGCAACAUAAGACCUCUAUGUGGAAGUUGCCUUGAAUGAACACCGAAACGAAAUUUUUAUUGAGCUCCUUGAAAUGACAGAAGCACAUCAAGGCAACCAGGCUCCCUUCCCACUGUGGUGUGCUAAAAUUAUUUUAAAUGAACACCAAGGAAGCACCCCUCAAGGGGUGAGGAAAGAAGGAAAGGAUUUUAAACGCAGUGGGCAAAAUAAUAAAUCCGUUCAUGGCAUCUAACCCA
Molecule: long non-coding RNA, 782 nt
Organism: Bos indicus x Bos taurus (hybrid cattle)
Lineage: Eukaryota; Metazoa; Chordata; Mammalia; Artiodactyla; Bovidae
Source: Ensembl